RNAcentral lists this small RNA (20 nucleotides) under Arabidopsis thaliana (thale cress). RNAcentral's name for it is "ATSL147830". Lineage: Eukaryota; Viridiplantae; Streptophyta; Magnoliopsida; Brassicales; Brassicaceae. The record is from RNAcentral.
AAGAAGAAGAAGAAUCUGAA